AAAGCCAGCAGGAUAGCACGUUGAAUACACCACUUCCCAUUGAUCACUUAAGUUGGAUAACGUUGCGCGUGGUUGGUAUCUGGACGGGUGGCCAUCUGGACAAUGCUGCUGGCUUUU
Molecule: ribosomal RNA, 117 nt
Filed under: Diaphorina citri (Asian citrus psyllid)
Lineage: Eukaryota; Metazoa; Arthropoda; Insecta; Hemiptera; Psyllidae
Source: RNAcentral